RNAcentral lists this small RNA (463 nucleotides) under Drosophila pseudoobscura pseudoobscura. RNAcentral describes it as "GA27231". Lineage: Eukaryota; Metazoa; Arthropoda; Insecta; Diptera; Drosophilidae. The record is from RNAcentral.
AAAACAAAGCAGGCGAUAAAAAACUACUUACUUAAUACCACACUUGUUCAAAUCAAAACGGAGCUAAUAGUUUACCAUUUAUAUUCAAAUCGUAAAGAAAUCAUAGUUGAUUUACGCUUGAAAUUCCCAGUAAAGUAUUUGGGCAAAAUGACUUCUUCCAUAGUCCUGUGCAUCGUUUCUUUGAUGAUCAUGAUCUGUCUGAAGAUUCGAUGCGCUAAACGGAUAACCAAUAGGGAUAAGGUGCAAACCAUGUCAGCUGAGAAUGAUUUUCCAUGGUUGCCGGACCCAGAGGUCGAGGAACUCGUUGUGGUGGGCUCAGGGUCGGGCCCCAUCGAUCACAAGCCCACGUACUGGAUGCUUCUGUAAGAGAGUCACAGUCGCGGCAGUCCUCUUGUCUGCGCAUAUGUUGCAGACCUACACACAAGUAAAUAUUAAUUGGAAAAUAUAAAGUACUUAUUUCAUA